RNAcentral lists this ribosomal RNA (465 nucleotides) under uncultured bacterium. RNAcentral's name for it is "partial 16S ribosomal RNA". It matches the Rfam family "Bacterial small subunit ribosomal RNA", at positions 28 to 507 of the family's 1533-position model. The record is from RNAcentral.
GACGAACGCUGGCGGCGUGCUUAACACAUGCAAGUCGAACGCUGAACCCGCUUCGGUGGGGGAUGAGUGGCGAACGGGUGCGUAACACGUGGGCAACCUGCCCCCGGCUCUGGGAUAACUCCAAGAAAUUGGGGCUAAUACCGGAUGUGACCGCUGGCCGCAUGGUCUGGUGGUGGAAAGGGUUUCCGGCUGGGGAUGGGCCCGCGGCCUAUCAGCUUGUUGGUGGGGUAGUGGCCUACCAAGGCGACGACGGGUAGCCGGCCUGAGAGGGUGACCGGCCACACUGGGAAUGAGACACGGCCCAGACUCCUACGGGAGGAAGAAGGGGGGAAUAGUGCGCAAGGGGCGGAAGCCUGACGCAGCGACGCCGCGUGGGGGAUGACGGCCUUCGGGUUGUAAACCUCUUUCAGCAGGGACGAAGCGCAAGUGACGGUACCUGCAGAAGAAGAACCGGCAAACUACGUG